This 681-nucleotide ribosomal RNA is filed under the name uncultured bacterium. RNAcentral describes it as "bacterial SSU rRNA". It matches the Rfam family "Bacterial small subunit ribosomal RNA", at positions 70 to 762 of the family's 1533-position model. The record is from RNAcentral.
CGCCCCUUUAGGAGUAGAGAACUUUGGUUAUCUGUUCUUAUGGGGAUCGGCGGACGGCUGAGUAACGCGUAGGAACGUACCCCAAAGUGAGGGAUAAGCACCGGAAACGGUGUCUAAUACCGCAUAUGGUCUUCGGAUUAAAGCAGCAAUGCGCUAUGGGAACGGCCUGCGUCGGAUUAGCUAGUUGGUGAGGUAAUGGCUCACCAAGGCGACGAUCCGUAGCUGGUCUGAGAGGAUGAUCAGCCAGACUGGAACUGAGACACGGUCCAGACUCCUACGGGAGGCAGCGGUUAGGAAUCUUCCACAAUGGGGGCAACCCUGAUGGAGCAACACCGCGUGCUGGAUGAAGGCCUUCGGGUCGUAAACAGCUUUUGUAUACGAAGAAUAUGACGGUAAUAUACGAAUAAGGGUCGGCUAACUACGUGCCAGCAGCCGCGGUCAUACGUAGGACCCAAGCGUUAUCCGGAGUGACUGGGCGUAAAGAGUUGCGUAGGCGGCUUAUUAAGCGAGUAGUGAAAUCUGGUGGCUCAACCAUCAACACAUUGCUCGAACUGAUAGGCUUGAGAAUGGUAGAGGUAGUUGGAAUUUCUUGUGUAGGAGUGAAAUCCGUAGAUAUAAGAAGGAACAYCAAUGGCGUAGGCAGACUACUGGACCAUUUCUGACGCUGAGGCACGAAAGCGU